CCGAUAGCUCAGUGGUUAGAGCGCUGGCUUCGCAAGCCAGAGGACCGGGGUUCGAUUCCCCGGCUAGGUGGA
RNAcentral lists this transfer RNA (72 nucleotides) under Portunus trituberculatus (swimming crab). RNAcentral's name for it is "tRNA-Ala". The stretch from base 5 to 62 matches the Rfam family "tRNA", at positions 8 to 63 of the family's 71-position model. Rfam says of the family: Transfer RNA (tRNA) molecules are approximately 80 nucleotides in length. Their secondary structure includes four short double-helical elements and three loops (D, anti-codon, and T loops). Further hydrogen bonds mediate the characteristic L-shaped molecular structure. tRNAs have two regions of fundamental functional importance: the anti-codon, which is responsible for specific mRNA codon recognition, and the 3' end, to which the tRNAs corresponding amino acid is attached (by aminoacyl-tRNA synthetases). tRNAs cope with the degeneracy of the genetic code in two manners: having more than one tRNA (with a specific anti-codon) for a particular amino acid; and 'wobble' base-pairing, i.e. permitting non-standard base-pairing at the 3rd anti-codon position. Lineage: Eukaryota; Metazoa; Arthropoda; Malacostraca; Decapoda; Portunidae. The record is from RNAcentral.